AUUGAACGCUGGCGGCAGGCUUAACACAUGCAAGUCGAGCGGAAACGAUGAAAAGCUUGCUUUUCAGGCGUCGAGCGGCGGACGGGUGAGUAAUGCUUGGGAAUAUGCCUUUGAGUGGGGGACAACAGUUGGAAACGACUGCUAAUACCGCAUAAUGUCUACGGACCAAAGGGGGGGCUUCUUCGGAACCUCUCGCUCAUUGAUUAGCCCAAGUGAGAUUAGCUAGUUGGUAAGGUAAUGGCUUACCAAGGCGACGAUCUCUAGCUGGUUUGAGAGGAUGAUCAGCCACACUGGGACUGAGACACGGCCCAG
This 312-nucleotide ribosomal RNA is filed under the name uncultured bacterium. Its description in RNAcentral is "bacterial SSU rRNA". It matches the Rfam family "Bacterial small subunit ribosomal RNA", at positions 30 to 334 of the family's 1533-position model. The record is from RNAcentral.